GACCGAUAGUGAACCAGUACCGUGAGGGAAAGGCGAAAAGAACCCCGGCGAGGGGAGUGAAAAAGAACCUGAAACCGUGUACGUACAAGCAGUGGGAGCCUCUUAAUGGGGUGACUGCGUACCUUUUGUAUAAUGGGUCAGCGACUUAUAUUCUGUAGCAAGGUUAACCGAAUAGGGGAGCCGAAGGGAAACCGAGUCUUAACUGGGCGUUAAGUUGCAGGGUAUAGACCCGAAACCCGGUGAUCUAGCCAUGGGCAGGUUGAAGGUUGGGUAACACUAACUGGAGGACCGAACCGACUAAUGUUGAAAAAUUAGCGGAUGACUUGUGGCUGGGGGUGAAAGGCCAAUCAAACCGGGAGAUAGCUGGUUCUCCCCGAAAGCUAUUUAGGUAGCGCCUCGUGAAUUCAUCUCCGGGGGUAGAGCACUGUUUCGGCAAGGGGGUCAUCCCGACUUACCAACCCGAUGCAAACUGCGAAUACCGGAGAAUGUUAUCACGGGAGACACACGGCGGGUGCUAACGUCCGUCGUGAAGAGGGAAACAACCCAGACCGCCAGCUAAGGUCCCAAAGUCAUGGUUAAGUGGGAAACGAUGUGGGAAGGCCCAGACAGCCAGGAUGUUGGCUUAGAAGCAGCCAUCAUUUAAAGAAAGCGUAAUAGCUCACUGGUCGAGUCGGCCUGCGCGGAAGAUGUAACGGGGCUAAACCAUGCACCGAAGCUGCGGCAGCGACACUAUGUGUUGUUGGGUAGGGGAGCGUUCUGUAAGCCUGUGAAGGUGUACUGUGAGGUAUGCUGGAGGUAUCAGAAGUGCGAAUGCUGACAUAAGUAACGAUAAAGCGGGUGAAAAGCCCGCUCGCCGGAAGACCAAGGGUUCCUGUCCAACGUUAAUCGGGGCAGGGUGAGUCGACCCCUAAGGCGAGGCCGAAAGGCGUAGUCGAUGGGAAACAGGUUAAUAUUCCUGUACUUGGUGUUACUGCGAAGGGGGGACGGAGAAGGCUAUGUUGGCCGGGCGACGGUUGUCCCGGUUUAAGCGUGUAGGCUGGUUUUCCAGGCAAAUCCGGAAAAUCAAGGCUGAGGCGUGAUGACGAGGCACUACGGUGCUGAAGCGACAAAUGCCCUGCUUCCAGGAAAAGCCUCUAAGCAUCAGGUAACAUCAAAUCGUACCCCAAACCGACACAGGUGGUCAGGUAGAGAAUACCAAGGCGCUUGAGAGAACUCGGGUGAAGGAACUAGGCAAAAUGGUGCCGUAACUUCGGGAGAAGGCACGCUGAUAUGUAGGUGAAGCGACUUGCUCGUGGAGCUGAAAUCAGUCGAAGAUACCAGCUGGCUGCAACUGUUUAUUAAAAACACAGCACUGUGCAAACACGAAAGUGGACGUAUACGGUGUGACGCCUGCCCGGUGCCGGAAGGUUAAUUGAUGGGGUUAGCGGUAACGCGAAGCUCUUGAUCGAAGCCCCGGUAAACGGCGGCCGUAACUAUAACGGUCCUAAGGUAGCGAAAUUCCUUGUCGGGUAAGUUCCGACCUGCACGAAUGGCGUAAUGAUGGCCAGGCUGUCUCCACCCGAGACUCAGUGAAAUUGAACUCGCUGUGAAGAUGCAGUGUACCCGCGGCAAGACGGAAAGACCCCGUGAACCUUUACUAUAGCUUGACACUGAACAUUGAGCCUUGAUGUGUAGGAUAGGUGGGAGGCUUUGAAGUGUGGACGCCAGUCUGCAUGGAGCCGACCUUGAAAUACCACCCUUUAAUGUUUGAUGUUCUAACGUGGGCCCCUUACCGGGGUUGCGGACAGUGUCUGGUGGGUAGUUUGACUGGGGCGGUCUCCUCCUAAAGAGUAACGGAGGAGCACGAAGGUUGGCUAAUCCUGGUCGGACAUCAGGAGGUUAGUGCAAUGGCAUAAGCCAGCUUGACUGCGAGCGUGACGGCGCGAGCAGGUGCGAAAGCAGGUCAUAGUGAUCCGGUGGUUCUGAAUGGAAGGGCCA
Molecule: ribosomal RNA, 1977 nt
Filed under: human gut metagenome
Description: bacterial LSU rRNA
Rfam family: Bacterial large subunit ribosomal RNA
Source: RNAcentral